RNAcentral lists this ribosomal RNA (759 nucleotides) under uncultured Enterobacteriaceae bacterium. RNAcentral's name for it is "bacterial SSU rRNA". It matches the Rfam family "Bacterial small subunit ribosomal RNA", at positions 28 to 776 of the family's 1533-position model. Lineage: Bacteria; Pseudomonadati; Pseudomonadota; Gammaproteobacteria; Enterobacterales; Enterobacteriaceae. The record is from RNAcentral.
AUUGAACGCUGGCGGCAGGCCUAACACAUGCAAGUCGAACGGUAACAGGAAGCAGCUUGCUGCUUCGCUGACGAGUGGCGGACGGGUGAGUAAUGUCUGGGAAACUGCCUGAUGGAGGGGGAUAACUACUGGAAACGGUAGCUAAUACCGCAUAACGUCGCAAGACCAAAGAGGGGGACCUUCGGGCCUCUUGCCAUCGGAUGUGCCCAGAUGGGAUUAGCUAGUAGGUGGGGUAACGGCUCACCUAGGCGACGAUCCCUAGCUGGUCUGAGAGGAUGACCAGCCACACUGGAACUGAGACACGGUCCAGACUCCUACGGGAGGCAGCAGUGGGGAAUAUUGCACAAUGGGCGCAAGCCUGAUGCAGCCAUGCCGCGUGUAUGAAGAAGGCCUUCGGGUUGUAAAGUACUUUCAGCGGGGAGGAAGGGAGUAAAGUUAAUACCUUUGCUCAUUGACGUUACCCGCAGAAGAAGCACCGGCUAACUCCGUGCCAGCAGCCGCGGUAAUACGGAGGGUGCAAGCGUUAAUCGGAAUUACUGGGCGUAAAGCGCACGCAGGCGGUUUGUUAAGUCAGAUGUGAAAUCCCCGGGCUCAACCUGGGAACUGCAUCUGAUACUGGCAAGCUUGAGUCUCGUAGAGGGGGGUAGAAUUCCAGGUGUAGCGGUGAAAUGCGUAGAGAUCUGGAGGAAUACCGGUGGCGAAGGCGGCCCCCUGGACGAAGACUGACGCUCAGGUGCGAAAGCGUGGGGAGCAAACAGG